This 555-nucleotide ribosomal RNA is filed under the name uncultured bacterium. RNAcentral describes it as "partial 16S ribosomal RNA". It matches the Rfam family "Bacterial small subunit ribosomal RNA", at positions 355 to 900 of the family's 1533-position model. The record is from RNAcentral.
UAGGGAAUCUUCGGCAAUGGGGGCAACCCUGACCGAGCAACGCCGCGUGAGUGAAGAAGGUUUUCGGAUCGUAAAGCUCUGUUGUAAGUCAAGAACGGGUGUGAGAGUGGAAAGUUCACACUGUGACGGUAGCUUACCAGAAAGGGACGGCUAACUACGUGCCAGCAGCCGCGGUAAUACGUAGGUCCCGAGCGUUGUCCGGAUUUAUUGGGCGUAAAGCGAGCGCAGGCGGUUUGAUAAGUCUGAAGUUAAAGGCUGUGGCUCAACCAUAGUUCGCUUUGGAAACCGUCAAACUUGAGUGCAGAAGGGGAGAGUGGAAUUCCAUGUGUAGCGGUGAAAUGCGUAGAUAUAUGGAGGAACACCGGUGGCGAAAGCGGCUCUCUGGUCUGUAACUGACGCUGAGGCUCGAAAGCGUGGGGAGCGAACAGGAUUAGAUACCCUGGUAGUCCACGCCGUAAACGAUGAGUGCUAGGUGUUGGAUCCUUUCCGGGAUUCAGUGCCGCAGCUAACGCAUUAAGCACUCCGCCUGGGGGAGUACGACCGCAAGGUUGAAAC